UGCAAGUCGAGCGCGAAAGCUUGAAGACCGAUCCUUUCGGGGUGAAGUUUUCUGCAAGUAGAGCGGCAAAAGGGUGAGUAAUACAUGGGUGAUGUACCCCUGACAUUGGGAUAACUUCGGGAAACUGAAGCUAAUACCGGAUAGUCCAACGUAACCUCAUGGUUGUGUUGGUAAAGGUAGGGAUCCUUCGGGACCUUCUGGUUAGGGAGCGGCUCAUGGGCUAUCAGCUUGUUGGUGAGGUAACUGCUCACCAAGGCUACGACGGCUAGGCGGUCUGAGAGGAUGGCCGCCCACAUCGGGACUGAGACACUGCCCGGACUCCUACGGGAGGCUGCAGUCGAGAAUCAUCCGCAAUGGGCGAAAGCCUGACGGUGCGACGCCGCGUGAGGGACGAAGGCCUUAGGGUUGUAAACCUCUUUCGCCUGUUAAGAAUGUAAUGUUGUGAAUAGCUUCAUUGUUGACGAAAGCAGGUAAAGAAGCACCGGCUAACUCCGUGCCAGCAGCCGCGGUAAUACGGAGGGUGCAAGCGUUAAUCGGAAUUACUGGGCGUAAAGCGCACGCAGGCGGUCUGUCAAGUCGGAUGUGAAAUCCCCGGGCUCAUCCUGGGAACUGCAUUCGAAACUGGCAGGCUAGAGUCUUGUAGAGGGGGGUAGAAUUCCAGGUGUAGCGGUG
RNAcentral lists this ribosomal RNA (672 nucleotides) under uncultured bacterium. Its description in RNAcentral is "bacterial SSU rRNA". It matches the Rfam family "Bacterial small subunit ribosomal RNA", at positions 56 to 683 of the family's 1533-position model. The record is from RNAcentral.